UACGUAGGGUGCAAGCGUUAUCCGGAAUCACUGGGCGUAAAGGGUGCGUAGGCGGUUAGACAAGUCAGAAGUGAAAGGCAGUGGCUCAACCAUUGUAAGCUUUUGAAACUGUUUAACUUGAAUGCAGGAGAGGCAAGUGGAAUUCCUAGUGUAGCGGUGAAAUGCGUAGAUAUUAGGAGGAACACCAGUGGCGAAGGCGACUUGCUGGACUGUAAUUGACGCUGAGGCACGAAAGCGUGGGGAGCAAACAGG
Molecule: ribosomal RNA, 252 nt
Filed under: uncultured bacterium
Lineage: Bacteria
Description: partial 16S ribosomal RNA
Rfam family: Bacterial small subunit ribosomal RNA
Source: RNAcentral